Molecule: ribosomal RNA, 119 nt
Filed under: Pteropus vampyrus (large flying fox)
Lineage: Eukaryota; Metazoa; Chordata; Mammalia; Chiroptera; Pteropodidae
Source: RNAcentral
GUCUACGGCCAUACCACCCUGAACAAGCCCGAUCCCAUCUGAUCUCAGAAGCUAAGCAAGGUCAGGCCUGGUUAGCACUUGGAUGGGAGACCACCUAGGAAGAUCAGGUGCUGCAGGCA